AUUGAACGCUGGCGGCGUGCUUAACACAUGCAAGUCGUGCGGUAACAGGCGUAGCAAUACGUGCUGACGAGCGGCGAACGGGUGCGUAAUACAUGGGAAUCUGCCUUUUAGUGGGGAAUAACCCGGCGAAAGCCGGGCUAAUGCCGCAUAAGAUCUUCGGAUGAAAGCGGGGGAUCGUAAGACCUCGCGCUGAUAGAUGAGCCCAUGCCGGAUUAGCUAGNGGUGAGGUAACGGCUCACCAAGGCGACGAUCCGUAGCUGGUCUGAGAGGACGGCCAGCCACACUGGGACUGAGACACGGCCCAGACUCCUACGGGAGGCAGCAGUGGGAAUAUUGGACAAUGGGGGAAACCCUGAUCCAGCGACGCCGCGUGUGUGAAGAA
Molecule: ribosomal RNA, 382 nt
Filed under: uncultured bacterium
Lineage: Bacteria
Description: bacterial SSU rRNA
Rfam family: Bacterial small subunit ribosomal RNA
Source: RNAcentral